GGCGUCGUGUCACUCCACUUAAUGGACGGCGUACAUGUAAAAAAGGAGGAAUAACCGUUCGGCUCACGGUGCGGCAGUGUGGAGACCUGUCGUAAUGCAUUUACUCUUUUACCGGGUACUUGUGAGGCAUUCGUUAGCGGAGGCUGGGAUGCUAGGGUCGGGAAAUAUGUC
RNAcentral lists this non-coding RNA (171 nucleotides) under bovine gut metagenome. RNAcentral describes it as "malK-I RNA". It matches the Rfam family "malK-I RNA". The record is from RNAcentral.